UUGAUACUGUGAGGCUAGGAUUUCGGUUGCUGUGGGCGGAAUGUGUGGUGUAGCGGUGAAAUGCUUAGAGAUCACACAGAAUAUCGAUUGCGAAGGCAGCUCACAAAGCCAAGAUUGACGCUGAGGCACGAAAGUGUGGGGAUCAAACAGGAUUAGAUACCCUGGUAGUACACACUGUAAACGAUGAUAACUCGCUGUCGGCGAUAGACCGUCGGUGUCCAAGCGAAAGCGAUAAGUUAUCCACCCUGGGGAGUACGACCGCAAGGUUGAAACUCAAAGGAAUUGACGGGGGCCCGCACAAGCGGAGGAACAUGUGGUUUAAUUCGAUGAUACGCGAGGAACCUUACCCGGGCUCGAACGGUGCAUGAAUGUUCAAGAGAUUGGACAGUCCUUCGGGACAUGUAUCGAGGUGCUGCAUGGUUGUCGUCAGCUCGUGCCGUGAGGUGUCGGCUUAAGUGCCAUAACGAGCGCAAC
This 474-nucleotide ribosomal RNA is filed under the name uncultured bacterium. RNAcentral describes it as "bacterial SSU rRNA". It matches the Rfam family "Bacterial small subunit ribosomal RNA", at positions 627 to 1102 of the family's 1533-position model. The record is from RNAcentral.